UGCACUGAGAGAGGCAAAAACUACCCGCAUUAUUACGGAAGGAACAAGAUUUGUUUUUUUAUCAUUCAAAAAUGUUGGUGGUUUAACGCUGAAGUACGCGCCAAACAUAUGCGUUAUUAAUGGGAGGCAGAUUAUGUCUGAAUCGUUGACACUGACGUGACAUUCUAUUUAAUUAUUUAAAUGUACAGCAAGAAAUUAAGUUAACCACUCAAGUCAAGACAAUUCAGUCACUGCUGAGUAUCAAACUUUCGGUGUGACAACUUUGUAGUUAGGCUAGCUACGCCCUCCGUAAGACAGCAUGGGUUGGUAAACUAGCCAACACACCGCAAGCAUGCUAGCCUAGCAAGGUUCUGCAUGUUUGAUAACAAGAACGUAAUGUUAAACUACGCUUUCCUUACAAGCGGCAAGCUAUAGCAGCUAACUAACUUUGCUAGCUAAUACUUUGCAAGCUUGCGAACGAAUGCCUUAAUCGACGCUCGCUACACUGCUAGCGCUCGACCAGCAUAGCGUCAGUCAGAAACCCACCUCAUCAACAGUCCGCCUCGGGAGAUGCAGCAUCCCAAGCAAGAGUUUUAGCUUCACCGGAGGCGAUAAACUCGAAAAA
Long non-coding RNA from Hypomesus transpacificus, 604 nucleotides. RefSeq lists it as uncharacterized. The transcript has 2 exons. The record is from RefSeq and is a predicted model, not a curated record. NCBI's taxonomy places the organism in Eukaryota, Metazoa, Chordata, Actinopteri, Osmeriformes, Osmeridae.